GGGCACUCUGGUUCCUACAAUGAAUAUGCUACAGCCAACAUACACCUCAGGGUUCUGAAUGACUAAGAGACUGAGUUAUGGUGUAGUCAAACUAUAAUACACUCAAGGUGAACUAUUGAUGUACCUCAGGUCAAAAAACUAGACACACAGCUGCAACAUCGAGCUAGUCAUCGACGAAAAGGUAGACUUUCUUAUGACUGCUCGAG
RNAcentral lists this long non-coding RNA (206 nucleotides) under Elaeis guineensis (African oil palm). RNAcentral describes it as "long non-coding RNA (EGUI_LNC027547)". The record is from RNAcentral. Lineage: Eukaryota; Viridiplantae; Streptophyta; Magnoliopsida; Arecales; Arecaceae.